RNAcentral lists this ribosomal RNA (253 nucleotides) under uncultured bacterium. RNAcentral describes it as "partial 16S ribosomal RNA". It matches the Rfam family "Bacterial small subunit ribosomal RNA", at positions 524 to 776 of the family's 1533-position model. The record is from RNAcentral.
UACGUAGGGGGCAAGCGUUGUUCGGAAUUACUGGGCGUAAAGGGCGCGUAGGCGGCCUGCUAAGUCGAACGUGAAAUCCCUGGGCUCAACCCAGGAACUGCGUCCGAUACUGGUUGGCUUGAAUCCGGGAGAGGGAUGUGGAAUUCCAGGUGUAGCGGUGAAAUGCGUAGAUAUCGAGAGGAACACCUGCGGCGAAGGCGGGUUGCUGGGCUGACACUGACGCUGAGGCGCGAAAGCUAGGGGAGCGAACGGG